CUGCAGCCCGAGUGGUGAUCGAUUUUAUUGAGCCUAAAGCGUCCGUAGCCGGACUAGUAAACCCUUGGGUAAAUUGGGCAGCUUAACUGUCCGAAUUCCGAGGGGACUGCUAGUCUUGGGACCGGGAGAGGUCAGAGGUACUCAAGGGGUAGGGGCUAAAUCCUGUAAUCCUUUGGGGACCACCAGUGGCGAAGGCGUCUGACUAGAACGGAUCCGACGGUAAGGGACGAAACCCUGGGGCGCGAACCGGAUUAGAUACCCGCGUAGUCC
RNAcentral lists this ribosomal RNA (270 nucleotides) under uncultured archaeon. Its description in RNAcentral is "partial 16S ribosomal RNA". It matches the Rfam family "Archaeal small subunit ribosomal RNA", at positions 477 to 747 of the family's 1478-position model. The record is from RNAcentral.